AAGAGGGAGGUAUAAAUAUCUGAUGCCGCCAUUGCUCUUUCCACUCCUGCAAGCCUUCCGUUAAGAUGGAAGCCGAACACUACCUUACGGCAAACGCCAAAGGUUGGACAAUGCAGACCUAUUCGAAGGUAUUGGAGCCAUUGGAGUUUGAUGGUAUUAGCCCAUUGUCCACGCUACAAUGAUGAUCUUUGAACUCUCUCUUGCCGAAUCCAACUUUGAAGAAACUUCUUAACCAGAUUCUGAGUAACCCAACGGAGCCCACCUCACUUCAAAAAGACUUGACGAGAUUUAAAAUCCCCUUUUUCUCACAGACUGUAUGGACAGAACAAGGAUGAUGGCUGCCUAGAAUGGUGGGAAUGUGAAAUAGAUUCAUAAACCUGGACUUCGGGCAGUUUGUCCAAUGGAGGACAUUGUUGAGACAUGAGAGUUGAUGGAGGACAUGGGAGUUGGUGGUGUGUUGAGAUUGUCCUAGUUUGAAAACCGCCCAUAAUUAAAGGUGUCAUGGCGCUGGUGUUUAGAGACUACUUCUACUCUAACCAAGGGUUCCUAGACUGGUCCAGUGUUCAUCUGCUACCCUGGUGUCCUUAAAACAUCUGGGUCAUCAUGUUAUUGGGGCAGUCACGCUAACCACAACGACGGAUGCCGUCUCAAUCCCGUGGCCAUGGCAGAUGUUUCUAAAAUGUCUGCCACGGGCAGGGUGUCGGACGGUGCCGACGUCUUUCCAUGAAGGCAGGAGCAAGACUGGGCCGGUGUUGAUCUGCCACACUGGCAUCCUCGGAUCUGGAUCAUCAUGUUAUCAGGGCAGUCACGCUAACCACAACGACACAUGCCGUCUCAAUCCCGUGGCCAUGGCAGAUGUUUCUAAAAUGGCUCACACGGGCCUUCACCAGGGUGUCGGACGGUGCUGACGUCUUUCCAUGAAGGCAGGAGCAAGACUGGGCCAGUGUUGAUCUGCCACACUGGCGUCCUCUAAUCUGGAUGAUCAUGGUGUCUUGGCGCUGGUGUCCAGAGACUACUUCUACUCCAACCAAGACUGUUCCAGUGAUCUGCCACACUGGCGUCUGCAAACCCAGAUCUGGGCCAACAUGACUCUGGUCAUGUGGAUGUUCGGGGCGGUCACGUUGACCAUAACGUCACACGAUGUUUCUUAAAUGUCUGCCAUGGGCCUUCACUAAGGUGUGGGGACGGUGCUGACUCUGUUCCAUUAACGCAGGACCUAGACUUGUCCUGUGACUGGCGUCCUCAAACCCAGUUCUGGGUCAUCUUGGUUCUCAGGUGGAAGAGGAACACUGCCUUACUGCUCACUACAAAGGUUGUGCAAUGAAGGCUAAAAUCCGAGACAGUAUGGACAGAAAAAGGAUGAUGGCUGCAUAGUUGACUGGUGGAAAUGUGAUCUAGCUUCACAAACCUGGACUUUGGCCAGUUAGGCCAAUGGAGGCCAUUGUUGAGACAUGGGAGUUGGUGCUGCGGUGAGAUCGUCAUAGUUUAAAAACCGCCCACAUUUGAAGGACCAUUUCUGUCAACGCCUCGACCCAUCAUUUUUCUUUAGGUGUCUUGGCGCUGGUGUUCAGAGACUACUUCUACUCCAACCAAGGGUUCCUCUGCGCUAGACUGGUCCAGUGAUCUGCCUCACUGGCGUCUACAAACCCAGAUCUGGGUCAACAUGUUAUCGGGGCAGUCACGCUAACCACAACGACGGAUGCCGUCUCAAUCCCAUGGCCAUGGCAGAUGUUUCUAAAAUGGCUCCCACGGGCCUUCACCAGGGUGUCGGACGGUGCUGACGUCUUUCCAUGAAGGCAGGAGCAGGACUAGUCCAGUGUUGAUCUGCCACACUGGCAUCCUCGGAUCUGGAUCAUCAUGUUAUCAGGGCAGUCACGCUAACCACAACGACCGAUGCUGCCUCAAUCCCAUGGCCAUGGCAGAUGUUUCUAAAAUGGCUCCCACGGGCCUUCACCAGGGUGUCGGACGGUGCUGACGUCUUUCCAGGAAGGCAGGAGCAGGACUGGGCCAGUGUUUAUCUGCGAGUCCUCAUAUCUGGAUCUGGAUCAUCAUGUUAUUGGGGUAGUCACGCUAACCACAACGACGGAUGCCGUCUCAAUCCCGUGGCCAUGGCAGAUGUUUCUAAAAUGUCUGCCACGGGCAGGGUGUCGGACGGUGCUGACGUCUUUCCAUGAAGGCAGGAGCAAGACUGGUCCAGUGUUGAUCUGCCACACUGGCGUCCUCUAAUCUGGAUGAUCAUGAUGGUGGACGUUUCGGGGGCGUUAACCAUAUGUUCACACACCAUGGGCCUUCACUGGGGUGUGUGGAUGGUACUGACGUCUUUCCAUGAACAAAGGAGCUAGACUGGUCUAGUGUCCAUCUGCCACACUGCAGUCCUCAAACCCAGAUCUGGAUCAUCAUGGUGGUCUGGAUCCUGUGGGUGCUUCUUACUGGUAGGUCACUGCAGUGCUGCUGGAAGUGUUGUCUACAAUAUGGCCACCCUCCUUCAUGUCUGCAACUUCCACAUCGUUGGGCUCAUGGAGUGAUUUUCAAUAAAAAACUUUGAAACCGGUUUAUGCUUGUCUAUCGAACUGAUUGUGGAUAAGGAGGACUGAUGUGAUUGCUUCUCAUGUUAA
Molecule: long non-coding RNA, 2615 nt
Organism: Gadus chalcogrammus (walleye pollock)
Lineage: Eukaryota; Metazoa; Chordata; Actinopteri; Gadiformes; Gadidae
Exons: 32
Source: RefSeq, a predicted model, not a curated record